Molecule: ribosomal RNA, 253 nt
Filed under: uncultured bacterium
Lineage: Bacteria
Description: partial 16S ribosomal RNA
Rfam family: Bacterial small subunit ribosomal RNA
Source: RNAcentral
UACGUAGGGAGCAAGCGUUGUUCGGAUUUACUGGGCGUAAAGGGCGCGUAGGCGGCAAAUUAAGUCAGCUGUGAAAUCUCCGAGCUUAACUCGGAACGGUCAGCUGAUACUGAUCUGCUAGAGUGCGGAAGGGGCAAUCGGAAUUCUUGGUGUAGCGGUGAAAUGCGUAGAUAUCGAGAGGAACACCUGCGGCGAAGGCGGGUUGCUGGGCUGAUACUGACGCUGAGGCGCGAAAGCCAGGGGAGCGAACGGG